Molecule: long non-coding RNA, 448 nt
Organism: Monomorium pharaonis (pharaoh ant)
Lineage: Eukaryota; Metazoa; Arthropoda; Insecta; Hymenoptera; Formicidae
Exons: 2
Source: RefSeq, a predicted model, not a curated record
GCAGCCAAAAAUGAUCCCUGCGUCCAACGACGACGGGAAACGCGAAAUUUAUGUCAAACUUUUCGUUUCUCGCCGUAGCGUCGAAAGAAGAAAAAAAAACAUUCGAACGCGUGAUUCGAGAUUGCGUAACAGAAAGGGUUCCACGAUCGUCCUGGCAACGACCGUUGGGGAGGGGGAACGACGCGGAGGGUGCAUUCCGCAUCCCGUGGAAACAGUUUUGUAUAACAGAGCCAGCGAGAAUAUUUUUAUAUAUUCAGAAUGAAACGAGCGCGAAAGAGCGACGGUUGAAGAAAAAACGAUUUCGUUCCAGAGUAUCGAAGAACAUUUUGACGAAGAAUUCUUAGAAGAAUUAUUUUUCGAUAUUUAAAAAGAAAUUGUGUAUUUGUUUGAGAAUUUCUAUAAUAAAAAAUAAAAGCUCUGUUUAUGGAUUAAAUCGCAUACAAAAAAA